UGAGAUUAGUGAUACUCAGCGUUUCUGACA
RNAcentral lists this non-coding RNA (30 nucleotides) under Homo sapiens (human). Lineage: Eukaryota; Metazoa; Chordata; Mammalia; Primates; Hominidae. The record is from RNAcentral.